GUGCUUGCUUCGGCAGCACAUAUACUAAAAUCGGAACAAUACAGAGAAGAUUAGCAUGGCCCCUGUGCAAGGAUGACGUGCAAAUUCGUUUAGUGUUCCAUAUUAAA
This 107-nucleotide small nuclear RNA is filed under the name Echinops telfairi (small Madagascar hedgehog). The record is from RNAcentral. Lineage: Eukaryota; Metazoa; Chordata; Mammalia; Afrosoricida; Tenrecidae.